AACGUAGGACGCGAGCGUUAUCCGGAGUUACUGGGCGUAAAGCGCACGUAGGCGGAUUUGCCAGUCAGGGGUGAAAUCCCGGGGCUCAACCUCGGAACUGCCUCUGAUACAGCAAGUCUUGAGUCCGGAAGAGGUGGGUGGAAUUCCUAGUGUAGAGGUGAAAUUCGUAGAUAUUCGCAAGAACACCAGUGGCGAAGGCGGCUCACUGGCCCGAUACUGACGCUGAGGCACGAAAGCGUGGGGAGCAAACAGG
RNAcentral lists this ribosomal RNA (253 nucleotides) under uncultured bacterium. RNAcentral's name for it is "partial 16S ribosomal RNA". It matches the Rfam family "Bacterial small subunit ribosomal RNA", at positions 524 to 776 of the family's 1533-position model. The record is from RNAcentral.